GUUCUCGAAUUCACAGUUACUUGUGCUCUAAUCUCCAUAGUGUUUCUAGUUAUUUGUCUUCUCAAAUCACUUUUGUUGUUGAGGAAUUCUACUAUCAAGAAUUGUUUAUGGCUGUUGAUGCUUAUCUGGGUACCAAAUUGGCAGCUUCUGUUGGAAGCGUAAAAGCAAGCAAGCAAGAGGGUGAGAAAAAAAUAGCAAUCACCAUGCACAAAGAUGAAGAAACUUGUGAUGUUUUUGAAGAUGUAGAAGUGAAGUGGAAAUUGAUUUUUAAAGAAUUGCGAAGCUACGAGCUAACUUUUAACAAGAAACACAAAGAGAAGGUGCUGAAUAAUUACCUGCCACACAUUCUGCAGCAAGCAGAAGCCAUUAAAGAAGACAAUAAGAUAAGAAAGAUCAACAUGCUUCAACGUAUGACAAUGGUGUCAUCAGCAGAAUUUCAUCAUCCAAUGACCUUUUCCACCAUUGCGAUGGAUGAAGAGCUUAAACAAGAAGUAAUGAAUGAUUUGAACACAUUCAUGAACUCCAAAGAAUACUACAGAAGGAUUGGGAAAGCUUGGAAACGCACAUACUUGAUACAUGGUCCUCCAGGAGCAGGCAAGUCCAGCUUGAUUGCUGCAAUUGCUAAUCACUUGAACUACAACAUAUAUCAAGUAGAUCUAUCAUAUUUCC
This 669-nucleotide long non-coding RNA is filed under the name Manihot esculenta (cassava). Its description in RNAcentral is "long non-coding RNA (MESC_LNC008926)". Lineage: Eukaryota; Viridiplantae; Streptophyta; Magnoliopsida; Malpighiales; Euphorbiaceae. The record is from RNAcentral.